RNAcentral lists this long non-coding RNA (743 nucleotides) under Olea europaea subsp. europaea. The record is from RNAcentral. Lineage: Eukaryota; Viridiplantae; Streptophyta; Magnoliopsida; Lamiales; Oleaceae.
CUUCGCUACUGGAGUCUACUAAGUAGAGCCAUGUGCGUAUGCAUAUUGCUUCAACAAGCAUGUCCAUGAGGACACUGUCCUUACAACUCGCAAACAGAUUGAAUCCAAAAAUCCUCUUGCCUUUGCUUCCAAAGUGAUUAGGAGCUCGAAUUAUCUAUCUGAAGCCAGGGUUAGCCAGUGAAUUCUAAACUCAUGUUCUACUCACUUGGUGCUUAAGCGUAUUUAAAUAUUCUCUUUAUUUAUUCAUUGCAGGAUAAGUCCAGCAAAACUUCUACUUCAACUCAACAUAAGAGGGGAUACAAUUGUGAAAAAUCUAGUUGCCUGAAGAAAUAUUGUGAAUGUUAUCAAGUUUCUUUUCAUCUUUUCUACGUAUGAGAGCUUUUCAUUAGCUUAUAAGAUAAAAGAUUAUCUUUCUAUUGAAGAGUGGUGUUGGAUGCUUGAUGAGUGUGGUUUUACGAGUAUCGGUAUUAUGAUUUACAAUUUAUUUUCCUUUUUGGGUUGGGCUUUUUUUUAACAGGCACGGGAGCUAAAGUUCUAAAAUAAGAAUCCGAUGUUGGUAUGCUUUGUUAUAUCUCUCCGCUUCCUGGCUUCUGUUAAAUUGUCAACCGAAGAUAUCUCUUCAGUCUCUCCCUCAUUAUUUGCACACAUUGAAUAUAUUUGCAUUACUUAUUAACCUCAAGAUGAUUUUUGGGAAUUUAUUUCAAUUAAUUGUCUUUGAUGUUCGAAUUGUGAACAUGAAUGCA